GAGUUUGAUCCUGGCUCAGAUUGAACGCUGGCGGCAUGCCUUACACAUGCAAGUCGAACGGCAGCGCGGGAGCAAUCCUGGCGGCGAGUGGCGAACGGGUGAGUAAUACAUCGGAACGUGCCCAAUCGUGGGGGAUAACGCAGCGAAAGCUGUGCUAAUACCGCAUACGAUCUACGGAUGAAAGCAGGGGAUCGCAAGACCUUGCGCGAAUGGAGCGGCCAAUGGCAGAUUAGGUAGUUGGUGAGGUAAAGGCUCACCAAGCCUUCGAUCUGUAGCUGGUCUGAGAGGACGACCAGCCACACUGGGACUGAGACACGGCCCAGACUCCUACGGGAGGCAGCAGUGGGGAAUUUUGGACAAUGGGCGCAAGCCUGAUCCAGCCAUGCCGCGUGCGGGAAGAAGGCCUUCGGGUUGUAAACCGCUUUUGUCAGGGAAGAAAAGGUUCUGGUUAAUACCUGGGACUCAUGACGGUACCUGAAGAAUAA
This 485-nucleotide ribosomal RNA is filed under the name uncultured beta proteobacterium. RNAcentral's name for it is "bacterial SSU rRNA". It matches the Rfam family "Bacterial small subunit ribosomal RNA", at positions 9 to 489 of the family's 1533-position model. The record is from RNAcentral. Lineage: Bacteria; Pseudomonadati; Pseudomonadota; Betaproteobacteria.